Long non-coding RNA from Eptesicus fuscus (big brown bat), 1486 nucleotides. RefSeq lists it as uncharacterized. Lineage: Eukaryota; Metazoa; Chordata; Mammalia; Chiroptera; Vespertilionidae. The transcript has 4 exons. The record is from RefSeq and is a predicted model, not a curated record.
CGCCCGCCCCUACGCGGCCCGGGUCUGGCCAAGGGAGACCUCCCCUUACCUGGGUCCCAAACCCAGGCGGGAGCCCCAGCAGGCUAAGCAAGACCCGCUCUGCCUCUGCUUUCCCGACGCUCCUGGCUCUCCCCACCCCGAGCGUCCAGGCUCCUGGCACAGCUAAAUUGAGUACAGAACCGUCCCAGGCUGUGGGCCAGCAGCUUCGCAUGCGUUCUCUUCUUUGCUACCUUGAGAACCUAUGGACGGCGUUGAAUGAGGACUGACUACUCUGCAGCUCCUGGACCUCCUCCUGGAUCUGAAAUAUUGUAGGUGCUGAUGAAUGCUGGUCUCUGUUGAAGCUUGCUUCAUGAUUUUUUUGGCCUCCUUGCUGUUUGCCUCACCUGUGAAGUAGACCGCCAAGUUCAACUUCCUUCCCAGCCCAGGUGCCCAAGCCCUGGCCUUUCCCACAUGGCCUGUACCUUUGGACCUGUAGACCGGAGCUGGGGAGCAGGCAAGCGAAACCAGAGCAGGAACGGCCUCCUUGAAGCCUCGGUCUGUUCGUCCAUCCUUCUUACCUCCAUCCCCGACCCCACCCCCCAACCAAAGAAUCCCAGGUUAUCUUCCAGAAGCUGCAAGCAGGGUGAGGUAAUAAAACAGAUGACUGCCUGCCCCAUGUGAUGGUGGGUGAAUCAUCCCCAGGCAUUCUUCAAAGCUGAGGACAAACGUGAAAGGGAUUAAAGGAAAAACCGGCUACGCCACGUGACGGGGUGACUUGGACGUUACUCUACAGGUGACUGAGCCGCAGGAAUCCCAAGGACAGGCCAGCAGCCCGGCCUCUCCCGCCUCCUUCCUGGGGCGCUGUCUGGCUGCCCGAGAGCCGAGCUGGAGGACACAGCAGAAGUGACCCCAGGCCAAGGCUGUCUUCCUUUGCGUUCACAUCCGGGUGGCCCACAGGCGACACCUGUGCCCGGGACAGGUCGUCUUGUUUUUGAAAAAGACGCCCACUGACAUCCUCGCCCCCGUGGCCACAGCGAAGAAGAAAGACCAGUUUCCACACGUGUGUUUCAGAGGAUCUCGGAGUGUCGGGGUAACAUAUUUCACAAAGAUGGGGAGGAGGAGAAACGAAGCUUUAAAAAGGAACAGAUAUGUCAGCAGUCGUUUCCUGUUAGCUGCUGUUUUCUUCCAGAGCGUGGAGGCUGUGGAAACCUCUGCUGCGGAUUUUCUUGAUGCCAUGACUUCACCCCCCACACAUCUGAGCAACACACACGGUUAUGUUUCCGUGACUGAGCCGACGAUGUCCCCUUUCUUUAGUCGUGCGUUAGCUGAAGUUCAUACUUGAGCCCAUGCGUUGAUUUUUUGUUUGUUUGUUUGUUUUCUUCAGGGAUGGGGAAACACGGCCUAAGCCAGGGAAAAUUAGGGUAGAAGAAACCUUGGCAAGAGAAAUGGUUUCUUAUUUAUCUCUGGGUCCUUAGUGCUUAAUACAGUGCUUGAAAAUAAAUCGAAA